Long non-coding RNA from Cyprinus carpio (common carp), 1276 nucleotides. The record is from Ensembl. NCBI's taxonomy places the organism in Eukaryota, Metazoa, Chordata, Actinopteri, Cypriniformes, Cyprinidae.
GGAGCGUCGAUAUUAAGCAGCCAUCACUGUUCGUCGCGCAUAUUGCAUCUGUUUUUUAUUUGUUGAACCUCAAUUAAAUUGUUGCUCUUAAAUUGGUUUGGACGUUUUUUGUAUUUUCUAGCCCGGGGAACAGACACAGUCUCUAUAGUGUGAUAUCUAGGUGAAAGAGUCUCUAUGUGCUGAGAAUUAACUGACUUCUGUGACUGGAGGCGGCUAGCAGACGGUCGGUUUAGCCAGUCUGUCUGCUUCCUGACCUGGGCCCCAGUUAGUCAAGUACAAACUCUAAGACUAUGUGCCAUAUUUCUAGAAAGAAGAGCGGCACCACCCCAGGAGGGAUGAAGACCAUCUCUUUUCAACAGGUCAGGUCUGCCCCAAAAGCUCGUCUAAUUGUCUAUGAAACCUAUGUUAUUCUGCGGGCACCACUUAGACAUCCAGCCAUUGAGUGAUGACAAUCUGCUAUGUAUCUCAUCACCACGGUAUGCAGGGAGGGGACCAGAGCAUAUUACAGUGUCUGACAUCGUGCUUGCAAGUUCACGCACCUCUUUAUGCUAUUUUUAGUGAUCUUGCCCUCCUUUCCAACAACACUGUUGAGUUUCUCAUGUAUGAUUGUCAGACUCUUUUGGACAUUUGUAGUUCCAAUGAAGGUGCAGUGGACGCAAAAUUGGGCCUUUUUACUGACCUCACACAUAGGACUCUCUUACUGGACGUCCCGGCUUUCCUUCGGUGACUACCUCUGGACACUUCUCCAAGAAAGCAUCGGAGAAGACGUGGGAAUCGCGGAGGUGUGUUCAUCAGGAUAAAGACCUUCAUGAGAGCUGUGACACGCUGGCUCAGGUUAAUCUUGACGGACCCCCCUGAUUCUGCUCCUGCUUCUCUUGACUCUCGGGUUCAAGCGGAAAAAUUUCCACUUGGAUCAUUAUCCAGCCAUACUGUAAGGGCGCAAAUACUGCUUACCUCUGAGCAAAGCAAAGCAUCGGCUUCGUGCACCAUUCUAUGCUCCCCAAAAAUUGCGCUGAUAAAAGCUCACUCCCUGGUAAACAAGACAUUCAUCCUCAACGAUUUUAUUACAACUCACGACCUGGAUUUUCUGUUUAUCACCAAGACCUGGGUGAAGAUAGGGGACUUCAGUCCAUAUUCUGAACUUGUUCCAGCCGACUAUCACUUUUACAAUGCUCCACGAUCAUCAGGCAGAGGCAGCGGGCUAGCCAUCAUUGCUAAAGAUUCUUUCAGACCUCGAUUGCCGACUGUUAUCCUCCACCACCUUCACGAGUUUUGA